UAGUCCUACUUCAGAUUGGCGACAUGGCUUCCGGGACGGAUUAGGACGAUUCGGGAGAAAGAGCCUGAGAACGGCUACUACAUCUACGGAAGGCAGCAGGCGCGUAAUUACCCAAUCCUGACUCAGGGAGGUGGUGACAAGAUAUAACAACAACGAUGCAAUCGUGAUUGUAGUGAGGGUAUUCUAAACCGAACCACUAGUACGAUUAGAGGGCAAGUCUGGUGCCAGCAGCCGCGGUAAUUCCAGCUCUAAUAGCGUAUAUUAAAGUUGCUGCAGUUAAAAGCUCGUAGUUGGAUUUCAAGGACAGCUAAACCUCUCGGGAAGGCUUCCUACUAGUCUUCGGACUGUUACUGUGAGAAAAUUAGAGUGUUUAAAGCAGGCUUUUGCAAGAAUACAUUAGCAUGGAAUACGAAUGUGUUUAGAAUCCUGGUAAUCAACAAGAUUAAUAGAGAAAGCGGGGCAUUAGAUUUAAUUGCAGAGUGAAUUCUUGGAUCUGCUAAUUCUAUCGUAUGCGAAGCAUCUGCCAGGAUGUUUCAUUAACCACCACCCACCGACAGGGAUCAAAACAUCAGAUACUGUUGUAGUCCCAUCUAUAACUAUGCGACUAGAUUGAUGGAGAAUACAUUCAGUACCUUAUGGAAAAUCAAGUCUUUGGGUCCUGGGGGAAUACUGUCCCAGCUGAACCUUAAGAAUUGACGAGACACAGAUGACUGCGCUUAUUGACCCACGGGACUACAGUCACUGAGAUGAC
RNAcentral lists this ribosomal RNA (751 nucleotides) under uncultured rumen protozoa. Its description in RNAcentral is "bacterial SSU rRNA". It matches the Rfam family "Eukaryotic small subunit ribosomal RNA", at positions 331 to 1831 of the family's 1831-position model. The record is from RNAcentral.